UACGUAGGGUGCAAGCGUUAAUCGGAAUUACUGGGCGUAAAGCGUGCGCAGGCGGUUGUGUAAGACAGAUGUGAAAUCCCCGGGCUCAACCUGGGAACUGCAUUUGUGACUGCACGGCUGGAGUGCGGCAGAGGGGGAUGGAAUUCCGUGUGUAGCAGUGAAAUGCGUAGAUAUGCGGAGGAACACCGAUGGCGAAGGCAAUCCCCUGGGCCUGCACUGACGCUCAUGCACGAAAGCGUGGGGAGCAAACAGG
This 253-nucleotide ribosomal RNA is filed under the name uncultured bacterium. Its description in RNAcentral is "partial 16S ribosomal RNA". It matches the Rfam family "Bacterial small subunit ribosomal RNA", at positions 524 to 776 of the family's 1533-position model. The record is from RNAcentral.